Molecule: non-coding RNA, 887 nt
Organism: Rattus norvegicus (Norway rat)
Lineage: Eukaryota; Metazoa; Chordata; Mammalia; Rodentia; Muridae
Source: RefSeq, a predicted model, not a curated record
UGUAGCAGAAAUAAGUUUGUAUGUAAUCCUAAAGAGUUGGGAUAUAGCAGGCUCACAAAAUCAAGAGAAGAAGUGCUAAUGAUGGCCACAAGAGAGUGCAGGCAUGAGUACGCCUUGGGCAAAAUAAGAUAUUUCAGGCCAAUGUGGGCCUUUGGUGAAAGUGCUCUUGUCCACUAUACAGAGAAAAAAGGUGAAAUACUUGUGAGUAGAUGUGGAGUGUUGAUGCUCCCAUAGGGAAAAGGAGAGACACUGAAGUUCUUCUAUGAAACGGUGACAUUACAGACCCCAUGGACAGAAGAUGUGAAUUUGAGAACAACUGGAGCAAAAGGUAUCAUUCUGAUGUCCCUCCUAGAGGAAGUUUUGAAUGUGAGACACAGUUAAGUGUUAAUUUUGUGACAUCUUUCAUCAAAAGUAGCAUGGUUCAGAAUCAUUCUUUGUCAAAUAGGUUAGCUGCUGAGGACCUUUUUGAGUGGAAGUGGAGUUUGAGACCUGGGUGCCAGAGAUGACUUCAGGAAUUGUAAUUGAUGGAAAAAGGAAGAUCUUGACGCCUUUAAGAAAGAGAAAACUUUGAGAUCUGAUUGUGCAAAGAAAAUUUUCAUCAAAGGAGCAAGAAAUUCUUCAUAACUUCAACACAACAUGGCCUUUGGGAACAGAAUAAAACACAAAUAAGGAAAGGCGGAAAAUGAUUGACACAUGCACUGUUCUUGGUUUGAAAUUUAACAAUCAUGCUAGUUAUAGGAUACAGCUUUGAAAUUCGAGUCAAUGAGAGGAUGAAAAAUACUGAGGAAGAGUAGGUAAAUUGAAUUCUUGCUACAUGAACAAAAACACUGGAUCUGAAGGUAAGGUACAUUUUAUAUAAUGACCCUCGUCUUCUGACACUAUUUAUU